AGAGUGAACGCUGGCGGUAGGCCUAACACAUGCAAGUCGAACGGCAGCACGGUAAGAGCUUGCUCUUAUGGGUGGCGAGUGGCGGACGGGUGAGGAAUACAUCGGAAUCUACCUUUUGGUGGGGGAUAACGUAGGGAAACUUACGCUAAUACCGCAUACGCCCUUCGGGGGAAAGCCGGGGACCAGCAAUGGCCUGGCGCUGAUAGAUGAGCCGAUGUCGGAUUAGCUAGUUGGUGAGGUAAUGGCUCACCAAGGCGACGAUCCGUAGCUGGUCUGAGAGGAUGAUCAGCCACACUGGAACUGAGACACGGUCCAGACUCCUACGGGAGGCAGCAGUGGGGAAUAUUGGACAAGUGGGCGAAAGCCUGAUCCAGCCAUGCCGCGUGUGUGAAGAAGGUCUUCGGAUUUGAAAAGCACUUUAAGUGGAGGAAGGUUGUAACUUAAUACGUUGCUAACUUUGAGUUACCGACAAGAAAUAAGCACCGGACUAACGUUCGUGA
Molecule: ribosomal RNA, 500 nt
Filed under: uncultured soil bacterium
Lineage: Bacteria
Description: bacterial SSU rRNA
Rfam family: Bacterial small subunit ribosomal RNA
Source: RNAcentral